Molecule: long non-coding RNA, 1598 nt
Organism: Betta splendens (Siamese fighting fish)
Lineage: Eukaryota; Metazoa; Chordata; Actinopteri; Anabantiformes; Osphronemidae
Source: Ensembl
AUGCCGUGGCCCCGCACCUCCCGCACCUCAGCUUCGAGUACAGUGGGCCUGAAAUGUACCGUACGGGUCCUCCACGUUCAGUGGACGGGGAUCAGCCGGACUAGAUCGACAGCUGUCACCACAGUCCACCAGAACAUCAGCACCAGCAGAUCGCUUGCACCGAGGCAGUUGCACGCAUUUUGCACAGUCAUAUCUGUAUUUGAGAGGGGCGCCCCCUGGUGGAAAAACAUCGCAUCAGCCUUUAUUCUUUUUACCUCAAGAAUGACUGCUUACUGUAGAUGCAUGGCUCCAGGCUCGGGCCCUCUUGAAGUCCAGGCUGCCUUCACCUGUGCAUAACAAGAUCCCUGAUUGAUUUUGUGCGCUGGGGGAAAAAAAAAGCUCUCCUGAGGUUUGUGCGAUACUGGUCCAGAUGUAAAUCUUGAAUGUAGAUUCUUUUUUUCCAUUUCCAUAAAUGUCUGUAUUGCUUGCUUUGUCUUCACACCAUUUAAAUAUACGUUUACUGUUACAAAAACGCAGUUUUGCCACCGGUCAAUAGCCGAUGGUACAGCGAAUGAAGGUCAUGCUGGGGAUUUCUGUCUAAUUGCAGCCCCGCACACAGUCUCUGGUGUCGGCCCCAGCGGAGCAGGAGGGUGUGGCACCGGCCACAGCGCUCUGACUUGAAUUACACCGAGCAAUGGAACAGUCCAGACUGGCUGCACCUGCCAGAGCCGCCCCACAAUGGCUGUUCAUCUCAGCUCCAGCAGACGGACUCAGGCUGCAGCCGGGUUCAGAAUCAGGUCAUUUCAUAUUACAGGACCUAAAUCUCCGGGUGCUGCAGAAGCCCCUGAGCUGUAACUAUAUUAAGAAGGUGUCACGGGCCUGAUAUAUAGACUUUGCAUUAAUGGCAUAGUUACUUCGUGUGUGGUGCAUCUGAGACGUGAACGAGCGUGGUUUAAUGAUAUUUGGGGCUUUAUGACAAAGCAUGAGUCUUUUGUGUUGAACCAUAAUGGUGCUGUGUCAGAUUGGAAGCCUCUCUAUGGCCACAUUAGUCUGUCAUGCUAACGUAUAGCAUAGAGUUUAACACUUAGCCUCAUCUGUGCCGUCAGGUUGCUCGGUUCGGAACAGCAGUCAGUGCGUACAGAGGUUUGGAUUUAAAGGCAGAAUGACGACUACAGUAUGUUGUUUCAAAUGUUUCCUCGCUGUAUGUGUUCAAAAAUGAGAUUAUUAUUUAAACAUUUUAAGAUAACGCAAGACGGGGAAGUCGACGCAGCGUGUGAGGUGAGGUGACACUGAGGUGACAUUUAUAACGGAUUAGACGGAUAAUUCUGUAUCUGUGAGUGGAUAUUUCUGUCAGGAUUGAAAACACGGGGAAUCUGAAACACAGUUUAAUUCCAGGUGUUAAUGUAACAUGGAUAAUUCAUAUCGGAACACAAUCUGGACACGAGCGGAAUGUUAACAUGCUGCCGCGACUGCACGACACGAGCCGAGAGGAGCCCGGCGGCCGAGACGGAGACGUCCGCGGGUGACGCGUCCAGUAGAUUGGGAUCGAACCAGAGGAGCUGCCUCCACUUAGACCUCACUUCAAUAAACUCGACGUUUCUCCGCGUCUGCCUGUUUGU